GAUGAACGCUGGCGGCGUGCCUAAUACAUGCAAGUCGAGCGAACAGACGAGGAGCUUGCUCCUCUGACGUUAGCGGCGGACGGGUGUGUAACACGUGGAUAACCUACCUAUAAGACUGGGAUCACUUCGGGACACCGGCGCUAAUACCGGAUAAUAUAUUGAACCGCAUGGUUCAAUAGUGAAAGACGGUUUUGCUGGCACUUAUAGAUGGAUCCGCGCUGCAUUAGCUAGUUGGUAAGGUCACGGCUUACCAAGGCAACUAUGCGUAGCCGACCUGAGAGAGUGAUAGGCCACACGGGAACUGAAACGCGGACCAGACUCCUACGGGAGGCAGCAGUAGGGAACCGUCCGCAAAGGGCGAAAGCCUGACGGAGCGGCGCGGCGUGAGUGAUGAAGGUCUUCGGAUCGGAAAACUCUGUUAUGAGGGAAGAACAAAUGUGUAAGUAACUGUGGACGGCUUGACGGUACCUAAUCAGAAAGCCACGGCUAACUACGUG
Molecule: ribosomal RNA, 497 nt
Filed under: uncultured bacterium
Lineage: Bacteria
Description: partial 16S ribosomal RNA
Rfam family: Bacterial small subunit ribosomal RNA
Source: RNAcentral